This 253-nucleotide ribosomal RNA is filed under the name uncultured bacterium. Its description in RNAcentral is "partial 16S ribosomal RNA". It matches the Rfam family "Bacterial small subunit ribosomal RNA", at positions 524 to 776 of the family's 1533-position model. The record is from RNAcentral.
UACGUAGGGGGCAAGCGUUGUCCGGAAUCAUUGGGCGUAAAGAGCGCGUAGGCGGUCCGGUAAGUCAGCUGUGAAAGUCAAGGGCUCAACCCUUGAAAGCCGGUUGAUACUGUCGGGCUAGAGUCCGGAAGAGGCGAGUGGAAUUCCCGGUGUAGCGGUGAAAUGCGCAGAUAUCGGGAGGAACACCUGUGGCGAAAGCGGCGCACUGGACCACAACUGACGCUGAGGCGCGAAAGCUAGGGGAGCAAACAGG